RNAcentral lists this ribosomal RNA (482 nucleotides) under uncultured bacterium. RNAcentral's name for it is "bacterial SSU rRNA". It matches the Rfam family "Bacterial small subunit ribosomal RNA", at positions 96 to 562 of the family's 1533-position model. The record is from RNAcentral.
CGGCGGAUGGGUGAGUAACACAUGGGCAACCUGCCUGUAAGCUUGGGAUAACUCGCGGAAACGCGUGCUAAUACCAAAUAAAGCUCAAGCACCUCUUGGUGUUGAGAUAAAAGACGGCUUUUGCUGUCACUUACAGAUGGGCCCGUGGCGCAUUAGCUAGUUGGUGGGAUAAGAGCUUACCAAGGCCACGAUGCGUAGCCGACCUGAGAGGGUGAUCGGCCACACUGGGACUGAGACACGGCCCAGACUCCUACGGGAGGCAGCAGUAGGGAAUCUUCCGCAAUGGACGAAAGUCUGACGGAGCAACGCCGCGUGAGUGAUGAAGGUCUUCGGAUCGUAAAACUCUGUUGUUAGGGAAGAACAAGUACCGUUCGAAUAGGUCGGUACCUUGACGGUACCUAACCAGAAAGCCCCGGCCAACUACGUGCCAGCAGCCGCGGUAAUACGUAGGGGGCAAGCGUUGUCCGGAAUUAUUGGGCGUA